GCUACAGGCUUAACACAUGCAAGUCGAGGGGCAGCRCARKGYAGCAAURCWKRGGYGGCGACCGGCGCACGGGUGCGUAACGCGUAUCCAACCUUCCCGUUACUCAKGGAUAGCCUUCCGAAAGGGAGAUUAAUACMUGAUGGUGUUGAAAUUCCGCAUGUUAUUYMAACUAAAGAUUUAUCGGUAACGGAUGGGGAUGCGUGACAUUAGGUAGAUGGCGGGGUAACGGCCCACCAUGCCUACGAUGUCUAGGGGUUCUGAGAGGAAGGUCCCCCACACUGGUACUGAGACACGGACCAGACUCCUACGGGAGGCAGCAGUGAGGAAUAUUGGUCAAUGGGCGGAAGCCUGAACCAGCCAAGUAGCGUGAAGGAUUACAGCCCUACGGGUUUUAAACUUCUUUUAUAUAAGAGYAAUGUGCACUACGUGUAGUGUAUUGCAAGUAUUAUAUGAAUAAGCAUCGGCUAACUCCGUGCCAGCAGCCGCGGUAAUACGGAGGAUGCGAGCGUUAUCCGGAUUUAUUGGGUUUAAAGGGAGCGUAGACGGGAGAUUAAGUCAGUUGUGAAAGGCUGCGGCUCAACCGCAGCACUGCAGUUGAUACUGGUUUCCUUGAGUKCGGUUGAGGURURUGGAAUUCGUGGUGUAGCGGUGAAAUGCUUAGAUAUCACG
RNAcentral lists this ribosomal RNA (669 nucleotides) under uncultured Bacteroidota bacterium. RNAcentral's name for it is "uncultured Bacteroidetes bacterium partial 16S ribosomal RNA". It matches the Rfam family "Bacterial small subunit ribosomal RNA", at positions 39 to 701 of the family's 1533-position model. Lineage: Bacteria; Pseudomonadati; Bacteroidota. The record is from RNAcentral.